GUAUCCCUGCGCCGUUGGUGAUUAUUUGAAUGUGUUGAGCCAACUCCCAAAAAAAGGGUACCUCCGCUUGUGGUGUGGGGAGAACCCGCUGGGGUAGACCUGAAACCAUUAUGAGGAUGCCCACCUAUUAUAUAGGUUUAAUAUGACGGAUAACACGGCGGUGUGGGGACUUC
RNAcentral lists this non-coding RNA (173 nucleotides) under Deltaproteobacteria bacterium. RNAcentral describes it as "6S RNA". It matches the Rfam family "6S / SsrS RNA". Rfam says of the family: E. coli 6S RNA was the first non coding RNA to be sequenced, but its function was unknown until recently. It consists of 184 nucleotides that fold into an extended hairpin structure with a large single-stranded internal bulge. The 6S RNA specifically associates with RNA polymerase holoenzyme containing the sigma70 specificity factor. Lineage: Bacteria; Pseudomonadati; Myxococcota; Myxococcia. The record is from RNAcentral.